GAUGAACGCUGGCGGCGUGCCUAAUACAUGCUAGUCGAGCGGACAGACGAGGAGCUUGCUCCUCUGACGUUAGCGGCGGACGGGUGAGUAACACGUGGAUAACCUACCUAUAAGACUGGGAUAACUUCGGGAAACCGGAGCUAAUACCGGGUAAUAUAUUGAACCGCAUGGUUCAAUAGUGAAAGACGGUUUUGCUUUCACUUAUACAUGGAUCCGCGCCGCAUUAGCUAGUUGGUAAGGUAACGGCUUACCAAGGCGACGAUGCGUAGCCGACCCGAGCGGGUGGCUCGCCCCACUGGCACUAGGACACGGCCCAGACUGCUACGAACGGCGGCAGUAGCGAUCUGUCCGCGAGGCGCCAAAGCGCGACGGCGCAAGGCCGCGUCAGUCCUGCAGGCCUUCGGAUCGUAAACCUCUGUUAUUGCAGAAGAACCAAUGUGUAAGUGGCUAUGCACGCCUUGACGGUACCUCCACAGAAGGCCACGGCUAGCUACGUG
Molecule: ribosomal RNA, 497 nt
Filed under: uncultured bacterium
Lineage: Bacteria
Description: partial 16S ribosomal RNA
Rfam family: Bacterial small subunit ribosomal RNA
Source: RNAcentral